RNAcentral lists this ribosomal RNA (464 nucleotides) under uncultured bacterium. Its description in RNAcentral is "SSU rRNA". It matches the Rfam family "Bacterial small subunit ribosomal RNA", at positions 26 to 518 of the family's 1533-position model. The record is from RNAcentral.
AGGAUUAACGCUGGCGGCGUGCCUAACACAUGCAAGUCGAACGAGGUAGCAAUACCUAGUGGCAGACGGGUGAGUAACGCGUGGUCAACCUACCGUUGAGUGGGGGAUAACUAGCCGAAAGGUUAGCUAAUACCGCAUACGUCUCCGAGGGGCAUCCCUUGGCGAUAAAAGGAGCAAUCCGCUCGAUGACGGGACCGCGUCCCAUUAGCUAGAUGGUAGGGUAACGGCCUACCAUGGCACCGAUGGGUAGCUGGUUUGAGAGAGCGACCAGCCACACUGGGACUGAGAAACGGCCCAGACUCCUACGGGAGGCAGCAGUGAGGAAUUUUCCGCAAUGGGCGCAAGCCUGACGGAGCGACGCCGCGUGUGGGAAGAAGGCCUUCGGGUCGUAAACCACUGUCGAAGGGGACGAUAAUGACGGUACCCUUGGAGGAAGCCCCGGCUAACUACGCGCCAGCAGCCGC